CGGAAUCGCCUGUCUACCAAAGCCUCCACUGGAACUAGCAGUGCCACCCCUGAACUGUCUCCUACCUGUCUGUCCAGGCCUCCUGAAGCGUCCCCUGAAACGCUGACGAGAGCUAGAAUCUGAACUGCUCGGCCUACUGCCUGAUGACGAUGCAGAACCCGAACUAGAGGCAAUUCUCUUAGAUGGCCCCUGACUAGGACCGCCAAUCUCCAAAGGUCGGGAACCGUCCAGAUAUCUAGCCUCACACCUCAUAGAAGCCUCCACAGCUAACUUAAAAGUCGGAUAAUCAUGAGGCGCCAACCAAUCUCGAUAUAUAGGUAGGAGGCCAUUGAUAAACUGAUCAACCUUCAACUUUUCUGUCGCCACCAACCCAGGG
RNAcentral lists this long non-coding RNA (376 nucleotides) under Rosa chinensis. Its description in RNAcentral is "sRNA RchiOBHm_Chr7g0194271". Lineage: Eukaryota; Viridiplantae; Streptophyta; Magnoliopsida; Rosales; Rosaceae. The record is from RNAcentral.